This 602-nucleotide ribosomal RNA is filed under the name Bacillus subtilis. RNAcentral's name for it is "bacterial SSU rRNA". It matches the Rfam family "Bacterial small subunit ribosomal RNA", at positions 731 to 1332 of the family's 1533-position model. The record is from RNAcentral. Lineage: Bacteria; Bacillati; Bacillota; Bacilli; Caryophanales; Bacillaceae.
GUCUUGUAACUGACGCUGAGGAGCGAAAGCGUGGGGAGCGAACAGGAUUAGAUACCCUGGUAGUCCACGCCGUAAACGAUGAGUGCUAAGUGUUAGGGGGUUUCCGCCCCUUAGUGCUGCAGCUAACGCAUUAAGCACUCCGCCUGGGGAGUACGGUCGCAAGAACUGAAACUCAAAGGAAUUGACGGGGGCCCGCACAAGCGGUGGAACAUGUGGUUUAAUUCGAAGCAACGCGAAGAACCUUACCAGGUCUUGACAUCCUCUGACAAUCCUAGAGAUAGGACGUCCCCUUCGGGGGCAGAAUGACAGGUGGUGCAUGGUUGUCGUCAGCUCGUGUCGUGAGAUGUUGGGUUAAGUCCCGCAACGAGCGCAACCCUUGAUCUUAGUUGCCAGCAUUCAGUUGGGCACUCUAAGGUGACUGCCGGUGACAAACCGGAGGAAGGUGGGGAUGACGUCAAAUCAUCAUGCCCCUUAUGACCUGGGCUACACACGUGCUACAAUGGACAGAACAAAGGGCAGCGAAACCCGCGAGUUAAGCCAAUCCCACAAAUCUGUUCUCAGUUCGGAUCGCAGUCUGCAACUCGACUGCGUGAAGCUGGAAU